UACGUAGGUGGCAAGCGUUAUCCGGAUUUACUGGGCGUAAAGGGAGCGUAGGCGGGCUUUUAAGUGAGAUGUGAAAUACUCGGGCUCAACUUGAGUGCUGCAUUUCAAACUGGAAGUCUAGAGUGCAGGAGAGGAGAAUGGAAUUCCUAGUGUAGCGGUGAAAUGCGUAGAGAUUAGGAAGAACACCAGUGGCGAAGGCGAUUCUCUGGACUGUAACUGACGCUGAGGCUCGAAGGCGUGGGGAGCAAACAGG
This 253-nucleotide ribosomal RNA is filed under the name uncultured bacterium. RNAcentral describes it as "partial 16S ribosomal RNA". It matches the Rfam family "Bacterial small subunit ribosomal RNA", at positions 524 to 776 of the family's 1533-position model. The record is from RNAcentral.